RNAcentral lists this long non-coding RNA (949 nucleotides) under Homo sapiens (human). RNAcentral's name for it is "non-protein coding lnc-MRPS11-4:1". The record is from RNAcentral. Lineage: Eukaryota; Metazoa; Chordata; Mammalia; Primates; Hominidae.
AUAUUUCCUUCUUUCCUGUUCCUCACCCUGAUCACGCUUGAUUUAUUGAUGGCGGUUCCACCAGGCCUAAUCGACACACACCAGCAAAGGCAGUGCUAUCCCCAAACUGCCACUCUUAACUCUUGAAGUAAAUAAGUAAUUUUUGCUGGCAGGACUAUGCUGAAUCUCCUUAGGCACACUCUAAUGAGAUAUCCUGAGUCGUCCCAAUUCUUAGACCUUUUAUACCCGUUUUUCUCCUUCUGUUAUUCCAUUUAGUUUCUCAAUUCAUCCAAAACCGUAUCCAGGCCAUCACCAAUCAUUCUAUAUGACAAAUGUUUCUUCUAACAUCCCCACAAUAUCACCCCUUAUCACAAGACCUCCCUUCAGCUUAAUCUCUCCCACUCUAGGUUCCCACGCCACCCCUAAUCCCGCUUGAAGCAGCCCUGAGAAACAUCGCCCAUUCUCUCUCCAUACCACCCCCCAAAAAUUUUCGCCGCCCCAACAUUUCAACACUAUUUUGUUUUAUUUUUCUUAUUAAUAUAAGAAAGCAGGAAUGUCAGGCAUCUGAGCCCAAGCCAAGCCAUCGCAUCCCCUGUGACUUGCACGUAUAUGCCCAGAUGGCCUGAAGUAACUGAAGAAUCACAAAAGUAGUGAAUAUGCCCUACCCCACCUUAAAUGAUGACAUUCCACCACAAAAGAAGCGUAAAUGGCCGGUCCUUGCCUUAAGUGAUGACAUUACUUUGUGAAAGUCCUUUUCCUGGCUCAUCCUGGCUCAAAAACACCCCCACUGAGCACCUUGCGACCCCCCACACCAGCCUACGAGAGAACAAACCCCCUUUGACUGUAAUUUUCCUUUACCUACCCAAAUCCUAUAAAACGGCCCCACCUUAUCUCCCUUCACUGACUCUCUUUUCGGACUCAGCCCACCUGCACCCAUGUGAAAUAAACAGCCAUGUUGCUCACACAAAGC